AUUAUUUACAGAUCCAAAUCGCACCUCACUCCUCACCCUCCCUCCUCACUCAUUCAUUUCGCACCACCGUCCAUUCUCUCUCACUGUUCCGCCACCGUCCUCCACCACCGUUCUCCAACACCGUUAUCCGCCGUCGCCGUUCUCCGCUCUUUGGCAACCGUCCCUCUCCCUCGGCACCAUCGUUCUCCGCCACCUCCGAUCUAUUCGAUCUCCGCCAUCGUUCUUCGCCGUCGCUGUUCUCCGCUCUUUGGCAACGCGAUUUUAUUUCAAUCAUCUUUGUUUUCUUCGAUUGUAAAUCUGAGAUAACUCUUUACUUUGAUUUCAAAUCUGAAUAUCAUUGAUCUCUUCACUUUGAUUUCAAAUAUGAAAAUCUAGGGUUGUGUGUAGUCUGAUUUUUGUUAAUUUUUGCAGAAUCUGAAGAAGUGAUGGAAUCUGAAGUUGAUUCCAUCUAAAGUUCCUCUUCAAUUAGUAUUACCAUCUCUCUAUACUUUCAGAAUCUAGUUCUUCCUAUUUGUUGAUUGAUAUUGUUUGUGUUCACUCUACUCUUUUGAUGUUAUUGCCUUGCUUCUUUUGCUUGUUGCAGUGUCUUGUUUGGUUCUUUUCUGUCACUGUAAGUGUUUUUGAGCUGCAUGUUUGUUGAUGAUCAAGUUUAAAUGUUAACAUUGCCAUUGUUGCUCUUGCUGUUGCCUAAUUUGGAACUAGAUUAGGUUUUGAUGAGGCAUCUUAAGGGUUUUCCUUUUGCGUAAUCCAUGAUAUCAUAAGAUUAUAAACUAAGGAAGAAAAUUCUUCUGAUUUGACCAAAAGAACCUGUCAAUCUGUCAAGGUGGGGAUUAUAAGAAAGUUACUAACUGGUUAAAUUGCUUUGUAGGCCCUGAUUGUAUCAUUAGAUUUUCAAGUUGGUUCUUGUAGUUUGAAUGGUUUUAACAAAAUUAUUGUACUUCUUUUCUGGUUGAAUUGCUUUGUCUUGUUUGGUUCUUUUCUUUCACUGCAAAUACUUUUAGUUGCUUCUGUAGUUUCUAAGUAUGGAUUUUAAAUACUAGAUAAGAUUUUAUUGUGUGUAGUAAAAUCAUAAUGACACCUUCACACUUGAUAAAGUUCACCUACUUAAUCAUAUUUUUGUCCCCCUAUAGGCGUGUGUUUAGCAGAGAUCAUGUGGUUCCCAAUUAUUCAUCUUGCAAUUGCAAACACUCAUGAGGAUUGGCAUAAAAAUAGUCUUCUUCUUUAGGUCUAUCUGAUAUGACAACUCUACCUUUCGUGUAAAUUCCCUUUAGUGCAGUUAUAGCUGGUUAUUUCCAACCUAAUUGUUUGCUUGCUGUUUUUCAGGUUCCUGCAGAGUAUUGUUUGAUCAGAUUAGUUUCUUUGAUUGAAAGCGGUCAAAAUAUCAUUGGUUGACUCUAGAAACUUGGAGGAGCUUAAAAGAGAUGAGUUGCUGUCAAGAUCACUUGUAGAAAAUAAACAUGGGGAAUAAAACACAAACUCUGAGUGAACUUUGGUCUGUGUUCUGCUUCAUGUUUAAUUGUAGUUUCUUCAAGGGCAAUGGAUGAGACCAUGUUGCUUGAUAUGUGUUCCGGUCUAAAUCUCCGGUUAGGGCUAAGCAAUUAGGCAAUAAAAGUAGAACAAGGCAAAGUAACAAAAUGAGUAAAAAGUAUUGGAUCCCCCACCGCAUGGGCGGUGUUUCCUUUAUAUAUUAUGAAGUUUUGACC
Molecule: long non-coding RNA, 1703 nt
Organism: Lotus japonicus
Lineage: Eukaryota; Viridiplantae; Streptophyta; Magnoliopsida; Fabales; Fabaceae
Exons: 2
Source: RefSeq, a predicted model, not a curated record